GACUUCUCUCAACCACAUCGUCUUUGUCAAUGUGGCUUGGAUGUGGGGGAAUUUCUUUGCGGGCUUUUUUAAUUUAAUAAGAAGCCAGCUCCCCUGAAAUGCAUUAGUGGUGUCUGAGCUGCUAUUGGUGUGAUAAUUUAUCUAUGCCUUUGGUAAUGCUGGUCAGUGCUGCUUAUAACAAGACAAAAUUCAUUUGACAA
Molecule: unclassified non-coding RNA, 200 nt
Filed under: uncultured Agaricales
Lineage: Eukaryota; Fungi; Basidiomycota; Agaricomycetes; Agaricales
Description: sequence contains ITS2
Source: RNAcentral